This 757-nucleotide ribosomal RNA is filed under the name uncultured bacterium. RNAcentral describes it as "bacterial SSU rRNA". It matches the Rfam family "Bacterial small subunit ribosomal RNA", at positions 778 to 1533 of the family's 1533-position model. The record is from RNAcentral.
UUAGAUACCCUGGUAGUCCACGCUGUAAACGAUGGAUACUAGGUGUGGGGGGACUGACCCCCUCCGUGCCGCAGUUAACACAAUAAGUAUCCCACCUGGGGAGUACGAUCGCAAGGUUGAAACUCAAAGGAAUUGACGGGGGCCCGCACAAGCGGUGGAGUAUGUGGUUUAAUUCGAAGCAACGCGAAGAACCUUACCAGGGCUUGACAUCCCGGUGACCGCUCUAGAGAUAGAGUUUUCCCUUCGGGGACACUGGUGACAGGUGGUGCAUGGUUGUCGUCAGCUCGUGUCGUGAGAUGUUGGGUUAAGUCCCGCAACGAGCGCAACCCUUAUUGUUAGUUGCUACGCAAGAGCACUCUAGCGAGACUGCCGUUGACAAAACGGAGGAAGGUGGGGACGACGUCAAAUCAUCAUGCCCCUUAUGUCCUGNGCCACACACGUACUACAAUGGUGGUCGACAGAGGGAAGCAAAACCGCGAGGUGGAGCAAAUCCCUAAAAGCCAUCCCACUUCGGAUCGCAGGCUGCAACCCGCCUGCGUGAAGUUGGAAUCGCUAGUAAUCGCGGAUCAGCAUGCCGCGGUGAAUACGUUCCCGGGCCUUGUCACACCGCCCGUCACACCAUGAGAAUCGGGAACACCCCGAGUCCGUACCCUAACCCAAAGNGGGCGCGGCCCGAGGUGGGUUCGAUAAUUGGGGUGAAGUCGUACAAGGGUAAGCCGAAUUCCACCACCUGGCCGCCGUUAUUAUUGGAUCCAAC